RNAcentral lists this ribosomal RNA (460 nucleotides) under uncultured Ferruginibacter sp. RNAcentral's name for it is "partial 16S ribosomal RNA". The record is from RNAcentral. Lineage: Bacteria; Pseudomonadati; Bacteroidota; Chitinophagia; Chitinophagales; Chitinophagaceae.
GACUACUGGGGUAUCUAAUCCUGUUUGAUCCCCACGCUUUCGAGCCUCAGUGUCAGUAGUUCCGUAGCAAGCUGCCUUCGCAAUUGGUGUUCUAUGUCAUAUCUAAGCAUUUCACCGCUACAUGACAUAUUCCGCUUACCUCCAGAAUAUUCAAGACAAAUAGUAUCAAUGGCAGUUUCCGAGUUAAGCUCGGAGAUUUCACCACUGACUUACCUGCCCACCUACGCUCCCUUUAAACCCAGUGAAUCCGGAUAACGCUUGCACCCUCCGUAUUACCGCGGCUGCUGGCACGGAGUUAGCCGGUGCUUAUUCCUCUGGUACCGUCAAGUGGGAAAGAAUUCCCUUUUUUCGUCCCAGAUAAAAGAAGUUUACAACCCAGAGGGCCUUCAUCCUUCACGCGGCAUGGCUGGUUCAGACUUUCGUCCAUUGACCAAUAUUCCUCACUGCUGCCCCCCGUAGG